This 293-nucleotide ribosomal RNA is filed under the name uncultured bacterium. RNAcentral describes it as "partial 16S ribosomal RNA". It matches the Rfam family "Archaeal small subunit ribosomal RNA", at positions 455 to 747 of the family's 1478-position model. The record is from RNAcentral.
GUGCCAGCCGCCGCGGUAAUACCGGCAGCCCGAGUGAUGGCCGAUCUUAUUGGGCCUAAAGCGUCCGUAGCUGGCCGACCAAGUCUACCGGGAAAUCCACCCGCCCAACGGGUGGGCGUCCGGUAGAAACUGGCCGGCUUGGAACCGGAAAGCUCAGAGAGUACGUCCGGGGUAGGAGUGAAAUCCCGUAAUCCCGGACGGACUACCGAUGGCGAAAGCACUCUGAGAAGACGGCUUCGACAGUGAGGGACGAAAGCCAGGGUCUCCAACCGGAUUAGAAACCCCGGUAGUCC